UUAAGUCAGGCAACAAGCGAGACCCACGCCCACAGUUGCCAGCGUACUCUCUGGAGUGACGGGUACACUGUGGGGACCGCCGCUGCUAAAGCGGAGGAAGGAAUGGGCAACGGUAGGUCAGUAUGCCCCGAAUGUCCCGGGCUACACGCGGGCUACAAUGGUUGGUACAAUGGGUAUCUACCCCGAAAGGGGAUGGAAAUCUCCUAAAGCCAAUCUUAGUUCGGAUCGAGGGCUGCAACUCGCCCUCGUGAAGCUGGAAUCCGUAGUAAUCGCGUUUCAAUAGAACGCGGUGAAUACGUCCCUGCUCCUUGCACA
RNAcentral lists this ribosomal RNA (315 nucleotides) under uncultured archaeon. Its description in RNAcentral is "bacterial SSU rRNA". It matches the Rfam family "Archaeal small subunit ribosomal RNA", at positions 1029 to 1343 of the family's 1478-position model. The record is from RNAcentral.